Molecule: transfer RNA, 82 nt
Filed under: Escherichia coli
Lineage: Bacteria; Pseudomonadati; Pseudomonadota; Gammaproteobacteria; Enterobacterales; Enterobacteriaceae
Description: tRNA-Arg
Rfam family: tRNA (bases 9-75)
About the family: Transfer RNA (tRNA) molecules are approximately 80 nucleotides in length. Their secondary structure includes four short double-helical elements and three loops (D, anti-codon, and T loops).
Source: RNAcentral
GCAUCCGUUCCGUAGCUCAGCUGGAUAGAGUACUCGGCUACGAACCGAGCGGUCGGAGGUUCGAAUCCUCCCGGAUGCACCA